GCUGUGGUGGGAUGGAGUGAAGUUGCAUGGCAUGGUGUGGCUUGGCAUAGCAAUGCGUGGCAUAGAAAAAAAAGCAACAUUUUCAGAUGUUCGUCAUUCAUUUAUCUCUACCUGAGUGUGAAACUUGGUUUUGAUGGUGAUUGACAGAAGAGGAAGAAACCUGAAGACACCAAUUCAUUCGAGAUUCAACUGGUCUGGAAGAAUUCCUCCAACAAUUCAAGCUGUCUUUGAACAUAAUUUCCUUUUUCCUCCUCUCUAGUUAGCCUGUCUAGAACAUUUUAACACUUAAGCUUCUACAAUUAUUUGCAAGACACAUUUUUCCUUAUCUCUAUCUCUUACGAAUCCUUCAGCAUUUAAA
Molecule: long non-coding RNA, 358 nt
Organism: Canis lupus familiaris (dog)
Lineage: Eukaryota; Metazoa; Chordata; Mammalia; Carnivora; Canidae
Exons: 3
Source: RefSeq, a predicted model, not a curated record